UUUAUUUGUAUUUUGCGACUAUAGUAAUUUGUUUAAUGUUCGGAAAUGCCGGUUUUUGAUCGCGUUUGUUAUGUAUAUUACAAGUCACGUGAUAGUGGAAUUGAUAACAUACUUCACUCGACGUUGUGUUUGGUGUCGGUUACUAAAUUAUAUAUCGACGCCCAUGUUGAUUCUCAUUAUUAAGAAAGAUCCAUCAGGCUCGUUUACAGCACUCGUUGUGCCUGGCAGUCCGAUAAGCUAUACACUGCAUUCCUUGUGCCUGGCAAUCCGAUAGGCUGUACACUGUAUUCGCCGUACCAUGGAGUCCGAUGAAUUCUUCAUUAACGUAAACGAUAACGCUACCCUUCUACGGUGCCCUAAAUGGGUGUAACUUCUACCGCUACCUUCGUACGGUGCCUUGAAUGGGAGUCACUUCUACCGCUAUCUUCGUACGUUGCCUUGAAUGGGAGUCUUUAUGGAUCCUUUGUUGAAUGAAGCAUUGGCUAAUCCUGAGAUGGACGAUGAAUUUUAUCAAUAAGGACCAACUGGAGAGGUUCCGUGGUACUGGUGGAGUGCGUAUUGAGGAUGAUGUUUUGUUUACUGAAGAUGGAUGUGUCAACUGGACUAAAAUACCCAGAACUGUCCAAGAAAUAGAAGAUUGGAUUGCCGGUGUUGAUGAUGAUUCCAAAUACGAUGGAAUGAAUUUACAACAUUUUGAAGCAAUUAUUGAUAUAAUUUUUAUGUAUUUUGUUAAAAGAUAUAAAAAGAGCAUUUUAUAAUUGUAUCAUAUUACCCUGUUUAUAUGUUUGUAUUCUUAAAAAUGCUGUAUAUAUUGAAAAAUUGAGUUUGUGAUGUAUAUAUAUUCUACAUGUUCAAAUAAAAUUGUAGUUUUAUAUUUUUAACUAUAAA
Molecule: long non-coding RNA, 888 nt
Organism: Dalotia coriaria
Lineage: Eukaryota; Metazoa; Arthropoda; Insecta; Coleoptera; Staphylinidae
Exons: 6
Source: RefSeq, a predicted model, not a curated record